CCCGUUUUUGCUAGAGACCAAGGACCCGGAAUAAGCACUGAGCCUGCGGUACCGGGCCUCCCCGACUCCUCAUUCCUGGGGUUAAAAAAAAAAAAAUAAGACGCAGGCUGGGCGCGGUGGCUCAGGCCUGUAAUCCCAGCACUUUGGGAGGCCGAGGCUGGUGGAUCACCUGAGGUCAGGAGUUCGAGACCAGCAUGGCCAACAUGGUGAAACCCCGUCUCUACUAAAACUACAAAAAUUAGCCUAGCGUGGUGGCAGGCGCCUGUAAUCCCAGCUACUCGGGAGGCUGAGGCAAGAGAAUCGCUUGCGCCCAGGAGGCAGAGGUUGCGGUGAGCCGAGAUCGCACCACUGCACUCCAGUCUGGGUGACAUAGAUCCUGUCUCAAAAAAAUAAAUAAAUAAAUAAAAUAAAAAUCAGACUCACACUUUUUGUCUGAGAACUAAAAGCAGCCUCUCUGGUGGAUUGGGUUUGGCUGAGCCCCUAAUGAUGCUCCCCAGAGUAGGCGCUGCCAACGUGUAGCUUCACCUUUCUACUCCAGACAGGCCCCUUUGACCUCCGUGAGGUUGGCUAAUAUAGAGACCCCAGCAUGGACUUGCAGGGGCGCCUGGUGGGAGAGGGGUGUGGAGCAGAGCCUGCUGGGCCUGCUCGGAGACUUGCCUUGCAGGAGGGUCUUCCAGGGACGCUUAGCAGGAAGUGGAAAGGCCAGGUCAUCUGCCGGGCCCAGCCUGGCUAAGCAGUGAGUGACAGGUAGGAUAGGCCAGUGUGAGGACAUAAAGUUCAGGCUCCAGGCCCACCUCUACAACUGAGGUCCCCAGAUGACUCUACGUUACCCCUCAGAGGGGCUACUUGGGACUCCAAGCAGGAAGGUUUACGAACGUUAUUUGCGGGCCCGCCCUUCACCCCUGCUGCACAGCUUCCCCUAGUGGAUUUGGCCGUAAAUGAGCAGACUGGUGCCUCCAGAGCAGCCCUCACCUUGGUGCCCCUGUGUUUGUCUUCACCCGGCUGGGGUCCAGGGAGAUGCAAAGAAUCCAUCAGAGAACAGGUGAGCAUGUUGAGAAGAACCAGAGAACCAGAAAUAACCUGGGCUGGCAACCUUGGCCUUCAGGCUUCUGAGGCAUUGACGUGCAGAUAUAAGUACCUCCCCUGAGUUAGGGACUGGUAGAAGAAACGGGAUGUGGACAUUUCAGUCUGAGAAAGUCUUGAGGAGCAGGAUGAACCAGGGUGUCCUUCCCCCUCUCAGGAAGUAAUUUCAGGGAGGUGAAGUGA
RNAcentral lists this long non-coding RNA (1266 nucleotides) under Homo sapiens (human). RNAcentral's name for it is "non-protein coding lnc-TAS1R3-4:1". The record is from RNAcentral. Lineage: Eukaryota; Metazoa; Chordata; Mammalia; Primates; Hominidae.